GAUGAACGCUGGCGGCGUGCUUAACACAUGCAAGUCGAACGAUGAAGCCCAGCUUGCUGGGUGGAUUAGUGGCGAACGGGUGAGUAACACGUGAGUAACCUGCCCUUAACUCUGGGAUAAGCCUGGGAAACUGGGUCUAAUACCGGAUAGGAGCGCCUACCGCAUGGUGGGUGUUGGAAAGAUUUAUCGGUUUUGGAUGGACUCGCGGCCUAUCAGCUUGUUGGUGAGGUAAUGGCUCACCAAGGCGACGACGGGUAGCCGGCCUGAGAGGGUGACCGGCCACACUGGGACUGAGACACGGCCCAGACUCCUACGGGAGGGAGCAGUGGGGAAUAUUGCACAAUGGGCGAAAGCCUGAUGCAGCGACGCCGCGUGAGGGAUGACGGCCUUCGGGUUGUAAACCUCUUUCAGUAGGGAAGAAGCGAAAGUGACGGUACCUGCAGAAGAAGCACCGGCUAACUACGUG
Molecule: ribosomal RNA, 466 nt
Filed under: uncultured bacterium
Lineage: Bacteria
Description: partial 16S ribosomal RNA
Rfam family: Bacterial small subunit ribosomal RNA
Source: RNAcentral